GACGAACGCUGGCGGCGUGCUUAACACAUGCAAGUCGAACGGAAAGGCCCUGCUUUUGUGGGGUGCUCGAGUGGCGAACGGGUGAGUAACACGUGAGUAACCUGCCCUUGACUUUGGGAUAACUUCAGGAAACUGGGGCUAAUACCGGAUAGGAGCUCCUGCUGCAUGGUGGGGGUUGGAAAGUUUCGGCGGUUGGGGAUGGACUCGCGGCUUACCAGCUUGUUGGUGGGGUAGCGGCUUACCAAGGCUUUGACGGGUAGCCGGCCUGAGAGGGUGACCGGCCACAUUGGGACUGAGAUACGGCCCAGACUCCUACGGGAGGCAGCAGUGGGGAAUAUUGCACAAUGGGUGGAGGCCUGAUGCAGCAACGCCGCGUGCGGGAUGACGGCCUUCGGGUUGUAAACCGCUUUCGCCUGUGACGAAGCGUGAGUGACGGUAAUGGGUAAAGAAGCACCGGCUAACUACGUG
Molecule: ribosomal RNA, 468 nt
Filed under: uncultured bacterium
Lineage: Bacteria
Description: partial 16S ribosomal RNA
Rfam family: Bacterial small subunit ribosomal RNA
Source: RNAcentral